Molecule: non-coding RNA, 205 nt
Organism: Bordetella genomosp. 8
Lineage: Bacteria; Pseudomonadati; Pseudomonadota; Betaproteobacteria; Burkholderiales; Alcaligenaceae
Source: Rfam
AACCGGUGCUUUCAACGCAAACGCGCGCAAGCGCGCCGCGUGGUGAAAGGUAAACGGGAAACAGGAACGCGCCGCCGGACCGUCCAUGAGACGGCCUGCGACGGCGCCAGGCCUGUGCUGCCCCCGCAACGGUCAUCCCGCCCCAUUAUUCCAGGCCGCGCCACGGCGCCUGGAACCGGGUGGGACAGCCCGAUACCGGCCGGUU